UCAAAAUGGGAAAGUCCCUGUUAACCGGAUAUGCUCAAGGGUGCGCUUUAGACCAUACUGAAGAACAGCUCGGUUGCCAGCUCUAAAACCAUCGCCAUAGGCCAUUGAGGUAUCUGACUCAAUUUGGUGCUUGAAAAAAUCACCAAGCUUUCGCUCAAACUGAGAUCUUCCCCCCUUUUUCGAUGAUGUGGAUGCUGAUGAGGAUGAAGACGUUGAAGCACCAUUACUGCCUGAUCCUGCAAUGAUCUCUGACUCAAUCCACAUGUGAGCAAGAACUUGGCAUAUGCCCUCUUCUACGUCUGGACUAAGUGUGCGAUAUCCUGCAAGUAGAUAUGCAUUAUAGCAUGAAAUAAUUAAAAAUUACCUUUAAGUCGCAACCACGCAUGCAUCAUCUCAUGAGCUAAAAUUGAACCUUGGUUCACCUUGGGAGACCAUAAAGAAUGAGAAUUGCAGUCACUUCACAUCGACGAGUCAACCUAUAUGGCUCCGUUAUCAUUUCCAUAACUUUAUUUCCAGCCAUUCUUGAAUAGUUCUCACCGUGCUGACAGUUUGCUCUUCUGAUAAGCAUAAACCUCUUGUUUCUGGAAGAUGGUGGUGACCCUGUCUUCUCUCCUUCCAUGGCUUCAUUUAAAGCCUGUCUUUCUACAAGAAGCAAGGGAACUUGUUGUUCCACUUUCAUAUUUAGGCCUUCAUAAAAUUCCUGUAUUUCAAGAUAAAGAGGUUGGCACUCGCUCGUAUCCAUAACUGCAGAAUCAAGGCACUCCAGGCAGAGUUUGCGACCAUCGUCCAGCAAUACAUAUCUUGAUUCCCUUGGCUCCAUUCUUUCACAACUACAGCAUCUUGGAGUACCGUCCACCUCAUGUGAUGGACAGUAUUUUUGUAACCAGAAAGGAUGUGCUCUAUAUUCAAUCAGGCCAUUCAUAUUUCGACUCUUACAAAUUGCUUGCAGACAUCACAUUUUGGGUGAAAGCGCUCCUUGUAGCAUGUUUUAUGGUAUGGAUGGUUUCCCGACAUGGAGAACUGCAUAGAGUUACCUCAUAGUCAUAUAUUGGUUGAUUACAAGCAUGACAGCGAAAACAUUCUGGAUGCCAAACAGCUCCCAUGCAACUAAGGAAACGCCCAUGACCAAUCUCACUGUGACAUCCGGCACAAGUCCUGAGGAAAUAAGCAAGAAAACAUAAAUGGCAGUGGUUGAUACAUAUUGCCACCAUUGGCGUUGCCAUUUUCACGAGCACGAGGAGGCGAUUCAACAUUCAAACUUUCCUGGAUAGCUCUUGCAAGUUGUUCAUCCUCCUCCAAAUGCAUUUACCAUACUAACCUAUUGCCUUUGCCUUUCUUUGUUCCUCCUCUAAUAGAGAGAGUGAUAUAGCACGAGCGAUAUCUUCAUUGUCAAAUUCUGACGGGACAUCCUAAAUUGAAUUUGAAAAUAGAUCAGCUACAUAGUCAAAAGAUGUAGAUU
RNAcentral lists this small RNA (1459 nucleotides) under Oryza sativa Japonica Group (Japanese rice). Its description in RNAcentral is "sRNA Os06g0182800". Lineage: Eukaryota; Viridiplantae; Streptophyta; Magnoliopsida; Poales; Poaceae. The record is from RNAcentral.